Molecule: ribosomal RNA, 118 nt
Filed under: uncultured Micrococcus sp.
Lineage: Bacteria; Bacillati; Actinomycetota; Actinomycetes; Micrococcales; Micrococcaceae
Description: partial 16S ribosomal RNA
Rfam family: Bacterial small subunit ribosomal RNA
Source: RNAcentral
ACUCCUACGGGAGGCAGCAGUAGGGAAUCUUCCGCAAUGGACGAAAGUCUGACGGAGCAACGCCGCGUGAGUGAAGAAGGUUUUCGGAUCGUAAAACUCUGUUGUAAGGGAAGAACAA